RNAcentral lists this ribosomal RNA (207 nucleotides) under Escherichia coli. Its description in RNAcentral is "partial 16S ribosomal RNA". It matches the Rfam family "Bacterial small subunit ribosomal RNA", at positions 1 to 215 of the family's 1533-position model. The record is from RNAcentral. Lineage: Bacteria; Pseudomonadati; Pseudomonadota; Gammaproteobacteria; Enterobacterales; Enterobacteriaceae.
AAAUUGAAGAGUUUGAUCAUGGCUCAGAUUGAACGCUGGCGGCAGGCCUAACACAUGCAAGUCGAACGGUAACAGGAAGCAGCUUGCUGCUUCGCUGACGAGUGGCGGACGGGUGAGUAAUGCCUGGGAAACUGCCUGAUGGAGGGGGAUAACUACUGGAAACGGUAGCUAAUACCGCAUAAUGUCGCAAGACCAAAGAGGGGGACC